This 253-nucleotide ribosomal RNA is filed under the name uncultured bacterium. RNAcentral's name for it is "partial 16S ribosomal RNA". It matches the Rfam family "Bacterial small subunit ribosomal RNA", at positions 524 to 776 of the family's 1533-position model. The record is from RNAcentral.
AACGUAGGAGACAAACGUUAUCCGGAGUUACUGGGCGUAAAGGGCGUGUAGGCGGUUAGUUAAGUCUGGCGUGAAAGCUCUCGGCUAAACCGGGAGAGGUCGUUGGAUACUGGCUGACUAGAGGACGGUAGAGGCGUGUGGAAUUCCGGGUGUAGUGGUGAAAUGCGUAGAGAUCCGGAGGAACACCAGUUGCGAAGGCGACACGCUGGGCCGUACCUGACGCUAAAGCGCGACAGCAUGGGGAGCAAACGGG